RNAcentral lists this unclassified non-coding RNA (184 nucleotides) under uncultured fungus. Its description in RNAcentral is "sequence contains ITS2". The record is from RNAcentral. Lineage: Eukaryota; Fungi.
UAAUAUCAAUCCCCUCGGGUUUCUUGUGGACCUGGGGCGGACUUGGAGUUGGGCGCCUGCCGGUGACACGGCUCGCCUUAAAGACCUUAGUGGGACAGGUUGCCUACGGCUUGACGUAAUAAGUUUCGUCAGACCCGGUGACUCUGGCCCGCUCAGAAUCCGCCCUCCCGGGCAAUACCUUUAU